GCUGGCGGCACGCCUAACACAUGCAAGUCGAACGCAGUAGCAAUACUGAGUGGCAAACGGGUGAGUAAUAUGUGGGAAUCUGCCUUUUGGUUCGGAAUAACACGGGGAAACUUGUGCUAAUACCGAAUAAGCCCUUACGGGGAAAGUUUUAAUGCCGAAAGAUGAGCCCGCACUUGAUUAGCUAGUUGGUAAGGUAAAAGCUUACCAAGGCAACGAUCAAUAGCUGUUCUUAGAGGAAGACCAGCCACAUUGGGACUGAGACACGGCCCAGACUCCUACGGGAGGCAGCAGUGGGGAAUCUUGCACAAUGGGGGAAACCCUGAUGCAGCGAUGCCGCGUGAGUGAAGAAGGCCCUUGGGUUGUAAAACUCUUUCGUCGGGGAAGAAAAUGACUGUACCCGAAUAAGAAGGUCCGGCUAACUUCGUGCCAGCAGCCGCGGUAAUACGAAGGGACCUAGCGUAGUUCGGAAUUACUGGGCUUAAAGAGCUCGUAGGUGGUUAAAAAAGUUGAUGGUGAAAUCCCAAGGCUUAACCUUGGAACUGCCAUCAAAACUUUUUAGCUAGAGUGUGAUAGAGGUAAGUGGAAUUUCUAGUGUAGAGGUGAAAUUCGUAGAUAUUAGAAAGAACAUCAAAUGCGAAGGCAACUUACUGGGUCACUACUGACACUGAGGAGCGAAAGCAUGGGUAGCGAAGAGGAUUAGAUACCCUCGUAGUCCAUGCUGUAAACGAUGUGUGCUAGACGUUGGAAAUAUAUUUUUCAGUGUCGCAGCGAAAGCAUUAAGCACACCGCCUGGGGAGUACGACCGCAAGGUUAAAAC
RNAcentral lists this ribosomal RNA (817 nucleotides) under marine metagenome. RNAcentral describes it as "bacterial SSU rRNA". It matches the Rfam family "Bacterial small subunit ribosomal RNA", at positions 35 to 900 of the family's 1533-position model. The record is from RNAcentral.